This 206-nucleotide ribosomal RNA is filed under the name uncultured bacterium. Its description in RNAcentral is "partial 16S ribosomal RNA". It matches the Rfam family "Bacterial small subunit ribosomal RNA", at positions 568 to 774 of the family's 1533-position model. The record is from RNAcentral.
GGCGUAGGCGGUUUUUCAAGUCAGGAGUGAAAGGCUAUGGCUCAACCAUAGUAAGCUCUUGAAACUGUUAAACUUGAGUGCAGGAGAGGAAAGUGGAAUUCCUAGUGUAGAGGUGAAAUUCGUAGAUAUUAGGAGGAACACCAGUGGCGAAGGCGACUUUCUGGACUGUAACUGACGCUGAGGCACGAAAGCGUGGGGAGCGAACA